This is a long non-coding RNA of Callithrix jacchus (white-tufted-ear marmoset), 463 nucleotides long. RefSeq lists it as uncharacterized. NCBI's taxonomy places the organism in Eukaryota, Metazoa, Chordata, Mammalia, Primates, Cebidae. The record is from RefSeq and is a predicted model, not a curated record.
CUAUGCCACCUUGCUCCCGGCCGAAUAAACUUAUUCCUCCUGUAUUCGGUGUCCGAGAGAUCCAUUUCCCACGGCCGCUCCUGCUACAAUACAUUGACAAGAAUGAGGAAAAAUAUAUCGUGCCCAGUGAAAUAAGAAAUAAACAAGCUUAGGUGAACUUAGAAGGAAGGAAAAAAAGGCUGGAGUCAAAUCUGAAGUGUCUCUCUCACGCUUUCCUCCAGGAAAACAGGAUAUAAAGGCCAAUGCAACACAUAAGAUCAAUGUGCGGCUAGAACUUCAGCAUGGUGGUGUGAGUCAGCUUUGGAUCUUGCAGAUGAGACCAUUCAGAGGGACGGGAGAGCAGCAAGACAGAAGGAACAUGGGUGCUAGGCUGACCUCAAGAAGCUGUGCUCCCCCUCAUGCUGGAUGGCCUACUUACCUGGGUACUGUCAUAUGAAAAGGAAAUACACAUACCUAGUUUGAA